UUCAUGAAAGCACAUUUUAGGUCCAAUUUAAAUAAAAUAGAUUUUUAUUGGUUAUACGUAAAAUGUUUCCGCCCGGUUUCGAACCAGGGACCUUUCGCGUGUUAGGCGAACAUGAUAAGCAAUACACUACGGAAACUGCUCGUCCAAUUUGUGAAGCUGCAACAUACUUCACUGGCAUAGGCCAAUGCCAACAAUGAAGAAUCAUGAAAUCAUCAUCUUCAUGAGGGCACAUUUUACGUGCACUUUAAAUAAAACAGGAAUUGUUUUGGUUUUACAUAAAAUGUUUCCGCCCGGUUUCGAACCGGGGACCUUUCGCGUGUGAGGCGAACGUGAUAACCACUACACUACGGAAACUGCUUGUCAAACUCGUGAAGUUGCAACACACUUCACUGGUAUAGACCUAUGCCAACAACGAAAAAUCAUGAAAUCAUCAUCUUCAUGAAAGCACAUUUAACGUCCAAUUUAAAUAAAACACGAUUUUUUUUGGUUAUACGUAAAAUGUUUCCACCCGGUUUCAAACCAGGACCCUUUCACGUGUUAGGCGAACAUGAUAACCACUACACUACGGAAACUGCUUGUCAAACUUGUGAAGUUGCAACAUACUUCACUGGCAUAGGCCAAUGCCAACAAUGAAGAAUCAUGAAAUCAUCACGUUCAUGAAGGCACAUUUUGUGUCCUCUUUAAAUAAAAUCCGAAUUAUUUUGGUUUAACGUAAAAUGUUUCUGCCCGGUUUCAAAACGGGGACCUUUCGCGUGUUAGGUAAACGUAAUAACCACUACACUACGGAAACUGCUUGUCAAACUCGUGAAGUUGCAACACACUUCACUGGUAUAGGCCUAUGCCAACAAUGAAGAAUCAUGAAUUCAUUAUCUUCAUGAAAGCACAUUUUAGGUCCAAUUUAAAUAAAAUAGAUUUUUAUUGGUUAUACGUAAAAUGUUUCCGCCCGGUUUCGAACCAGAGACCUUUCGCGUGUAAGGCGAACAUGAUAAGCAAUACACUACGGAAACUGCUUGUCAAACUUGUGAAGCUGCAACAUACUUCACUGGCAUAGGCCAAUGCCAACAAUGAAGAAUCAUGAAAUCAUCAUCUUCAUGAGUGCACAUUUUACGUGCACUUUAAAUAAAACAGGAAUUGUUUUGGUUUUACAUAAAAUGUUUCCACCCGGUUUCGAACCGGGGACCUUUCGCGUGUGAGGCGAACGUGAUAACCACUACACUACGGAAACUGCUUGUCAAACUCGUGAAGUUGCAACACACUUCACUGGUAUAGACCUAUGCCAACAACGAAAAAUCAUGAAAUCAUCAUCUUCAUGAAAGCACAUUUAACGUCCAAUUUAAAUAAAACACGAUUUUUUUUGGUUAUACGUAAAAUGUUUCCACCCGGUUUCAAACCAGGACCCUUUCACGUGUUAGGCGAACAUGAUAACCACUACACUACGGAAACUGCUUGUCAAACUUGUGAAGUUGCAACAUACUUCACUGGCAUAGGCCAAUGCCAACAAUGAAGAAUCAUGAAAUCAUCACGUUCAUGAAGGCACAUUUUGUGUCCUCUUUAAAUAAAAUCCGAAUUAUUUUGGUUUAACGUAAAAUGUUUCUGCCCGGUUUCAAAACGGGGACCUUUCGCGUGUUAGGCGAACGUGAUAACCACUAUACUACGGAAACUGCUUGAAGAACAUGUAACGUAGCAACAUAUUUCACUGAAAUAUUUCGAAACGUCUAGUGUCAAAUCAUUAAAUCAUCAAGUUCAUGAAGGCAUAUUUUACGUCCACUUUAAAUAAAAUACAAAUUGUUUUGGUUUUACAUAGAAUGUUUCCGCCCGGUUUCAAACCAGGAACCUUUCACAUGUUAGGUAAACGUAAUAACCACUACACUACGGAAACUGCUUGUCAAACUCGUGAAGUUGCAACACACUUCACUGGUAUAGGCCUAUGCCAACAAUGAAGAAUCAUGAAUUCAUUAUCUUCAUGAAAGCACAUUUUAGGUCCAAUUGAAAUAAAAUACGAUUUUUAUUGGUUAUACGUAAAAUGUUUCCGCCCGGUUUCGAACCAGGGACCUUUCGCGUGUUAGGCGAACAUGAUAACCAAUACACUACGGAAACUGGUUGUCAAACUUGUGAAGCUGCAACAUACUUCACUGGCAUAGGCCAAUGCCAACAAUCAUCAUCUUCAUGAAAUCAUCAUCUUCAUGAGGGCACAUUUUACGU
Non-coding RNA from Petromyzon marinus (sea lamprey), 2202 nucleotides. Lineage: Eukaryota; Metazoa; Chordata; Hyperoartia; Petromyzontiformes; Petromyzontidae. The record is from RefSeq and is a predicted model, not a curated record.